GCCGGGUCUCCCCGGGGACGGACGGGCCCUGGGAGCCGGGAACGAGGAAGAGGCGGGAGGCGGAAGUGGGGGAGGGGCGGCGGCGGGCACACGCUCUCGUCUCUCGCCCGGCGGCAGGAGGGAUCCCCUUCUGAGAUACUAUACUGAGAUACAGACAGGUGAAGGCACUUGUCCAAGGCCGUAAAGCGAGCGAGUGAUGGAGCUGGAAUUCAACCCAGCUAGGCUGCUUCAGAGACUGUGCUUAUAAGCACUACUCCCAGCUUGCUCCCCUUUUAUCCUGUUGCAGUUUUCAUCUUCCAGGAGACAUUUUGGACAGUUUGAUUCUUAUUCCUCAUUAAUGGAUGGAGCAGAUACUUGGUCCCAUUUCCUAGCACAGAGGAAUGAGGAGAGCUGAGGUUGCAGAGCCACCAGUUAACCUGCAUUCCAAAGAAGAAGGAGCCUCCAAGAAGGAAUGGGAUGCAGGCACUGGCACACUGUGAAGCGAGAGGAAGACGAUGUCUCCAUGCAAGCGGUGAACAAAAACAGAAAAUUCAUUCCCAGCAGAUCAGCGCUACAAGAACUAGAAAAGAAGUUCUGGAGGCAGAAAGAAUAUGAUAUUAGAGAGAAUUUCGGAUCUACCUAAAGAAAUGAAGACCUCUGGAAAUGGACAGAAAAAGGAUUUAAAAAAAAAGACCACAGCUUCCAUCUUGGGUGUGUGUUCUCUCUAUCGCUUGGAUCACUCACUGGGAGAGGCAAGCUAUUAUGUUGUCAACAGCCCUACAGAGAGGCCUACGUGGCAAGGCACUGAAGAUUCCAGCCAACAUCUAGAGAAGAGAGGCCUGCCAGCAGUCACAUGAGACAGCAUGGAAGCAGAUUCGCCGGCCCUGGGAGAGCCUGGAGAUGUCUGCAGCCCUGGCCAGCAGCUUGACUGCAACCUGGUGAGAGACUGAGGCAGAACCAUUCAUCUAGAGCAUUCCUGGAUUCCUGAUGCUCAAAACCUUUGAGGUUUGAGAUAAUAAAUACUUCUUGUUUUAAACUGCUAAAUUUUGGGAUAAUUUGCUGUGCAGCAAUAGAUAUCAUAUAGAGAUUUUGGUACUGGGUUGAGUGCUGCUGUAACAGCUUGAACAUGUGGGAGCGGCAUUAGAACUGGGCCAUAGACUUUGAGAAGAGUGCAGUAAAAGCCUAAAGUGCCUUGAAAAAGUUGUUAAUAGAAGCCUCGGGCCUUUGAAAAGGCUGCUGUGAAGGCAUAAAAGAAAGUGAGGUAAAUACUAUUAGAACCCGGAGGAAGAGGAGUUCUUGUUAUGUUGUGGUGCAAAGUUUAGCAACCCUGUUGCCUGCAGUAAAGUAGAAAGCAGAAAAUGUGUCUAAUGAAUUGGGUGAUCUAGUUAAGGAUUUUUCCAAGAAAAGUGUUGAAGUGGCAUCUUCCUGCUGCUUAUAGUAAAAUGCCAGAGGAGAGAGGGAAACCAAAAGCAGCACUUCUCAAGCGAGAGUGAUGUGGGCUCCAGGAGGCCAUUUGGCAAUGUCCAGAGAUACUCUUGCUUGUCACAACUGGAGAGGUUACUAUUGGCAUCUAGUCAAUAGAGGCCAAGGAUGCUGCUAAAUAUCCUAUAAUGCACAAGACAAACCCUCUCACUACCACUGCCUCCCCUGACAUCAAAGAAUUUUCCUGCCCAAAAUGUCAAUAGUGCUGAGGUUGAGAAACCCAGAACUAAUAGGAGGGACUGUUAAACAUGAAGGAGCCAAGACUUCAUGGCAGAAAAUUCUCAGUCUCUCCAAAUGGCAAGUGAUGGUAAAAUUAAGAAAUGGUUUCCUAGCAAAGCUCAAAUUCAGAGUAUUACUAGGAAAACAUGAUCCAAAAAUGAAACUGAGAAGGUGCCUAUAAAAUCUUUUGUUUACAUCUCAGAAAGAUUUAAGGCAAUGCCUCAGAGUACUAUUUAGUCAGAUAAAAGACCUCUAAAGAAAUUAUAGGUGUGCCUCACAGAUGCUGUGAAUCAAAUAAUAGGCAUUCUAGAAAGCUUAAAGGUGAUGUCCUGUAGCCAUUUCAGCAGAAGCCUAAUGUAGUGAAGGGCUUGUCUCAAAGAAAUUGUGGGCAUGGUUUUUGUCUAAUAGAGUAGACCUUUUUUAUUCACGAAAUUCAGAGUGAUCCACAAGUUCUUAAAAUGAUUAUGUAUCCAGAAACAUCUCCAGCUUGGACUUAUAUGGAUGAAGAGAGUAUAAAAUAAAAAGAGGGCUUCCAGUUCAGAACAAGAUGGAGUAGAUGCAUUCCUCUCUAGACUUCCCACUAAGUACAGCUGAAAGUGCUGGACAACACAUAAAACAAACAUCAAAAGGCAGACCAUCCAGGAACCCCAGUGCUCAAAUGAUACAGCAGUGAGUCCCUGGGCUUUCUUUUUGCUAGGGUGCUGGCAAAGCCUGCAACCCUGGAACUACCAAAGAGCCAUAGACAAAAAUUGCCCCUAUGAAAAGCCUGUUCUCUCUUGUCAGAGGACUCAGAAAGGGGCACUCCAGCAAGACAGAAAUCUUUUGACCUUAAAUGCCCCACUCUAGCAAAAUCUCAGUCCCAACCUCCAUGAGCAAAGGCAGAGGGGAAAGCCUAGACUUUAACGUUUGUCUUGUGGCAACAGGCACCUCUCCCCCUUACCUCCGGGUGGUGGUGGAGGAGGCUGAGUGGGGAACCUGGGCUUCAUCCCUGCCCAGCAGCAGUGAGGCAACCAUCCCUUUCCCCUACAGGCUGGUGUCGGGGGUGGGGGGGGCGCCAUUUGCGAAGCCUGGACUUUCACUCCCACCUGGUGAUAAGGAGUUGGUGCCCCUAUCUCACUGGCCCAGGUCAGCAGAGGCCUACUAAAACAGAGAAUUAAAUGAGAUCCAGAGUCUCAUAACAUAAUUUCUGAAAUGUCCAGGUUAUAAAUGAAAAUAACUCAC
This is an RNA transcript of Equus quagga, 2901 nucleotides long. It is a transcript of the gene named TP53 target 5, with no coding region annotated. NCBI's taxonomy places the organism in Eukaryota, Metazoa, Chordata, Mammalia, Perissodactyla, Equidae. The transcript is spliced from 5 exons. The record is from RefSeq and is a predicted model, not a curated record.